This 253-nucleotide ribosomal RNA is filed under the name uncultured bacterium. RNAcentral describes it as "partial 16S ribosomal RNA". It matches the Rfam family "Bacterial small subunit ribosomal RNA", at positions 524 to 776 of the family's 1533-position model. The record is from RNAcentral.
UACGAAGGGGGCUAGCGUUUCUCGGAAUCACUGGGCGUAAAGCGCACGUAGGCGGAUCUUUAAGUCAGGGGUGAAAUCCUGGAGCUCAACUCCAGAACUGCCUUUGAUACUGGGGAUCUCGAGUCCGGAAGAGGUGAGUGGAACUCCGAGUGUAGAGGUGAAAUUCGUAGAUAUUCGGAAGAACACCAGUGGCGAAGGCGGCUCACUGGUCCGGUACUGACGCUGAGGUGCGAAAGCGUGGGGAGCAAACAGG